This 241-nucleotide long non-coding RNA is filed under the name Lathyrus oleraceus (garden pea). Its description in RNAcentral is "Pisum sativum (pea) long non-coding RNA (PSAT_LNC027061)". Lineage: Eukaryota; Viridiplantae; Streptophyta; Magnoliopsida; Fabales; Fabaceae. The record is from RNAcentral.
AAGGCAUGAAAUAAUUGAAAAUGAAGACACAAGAAAGUUGGCAAAGGAACCAAAGAAAUCAAGCAUUCAUCAGCCUGCUCGCUAGGCGAGGGCUGUGGCGAAGCACUCGCUAGGCGAGCAGCCAGCGAAAAGCUCCAGUAAAAUAUCAAUAAAUUCGUUAGGCGAGCUGCUAGCGAAGGUGGUAGCGAGUUCGUUCAGUUUUGGUGAAAAGCGCAGCCAGCACUCACUCGCUAGGCGAGGC